Molecule: long non-coding RNA, 581 nt
Filed under: Ananas comosus (pineapple)
Lineage: Eukaryota; Viridiplantae; Streptophyta; Magnoliopsida; Poales; Bromeliaceae
Description: long non-coding RNA (ACOM_LNC028487)
Source: RNAcentral
CUAAAUUAAAAUCGUUAGAUUGUGAAAGUGGAAUAUCUUAAAGUAUAAGUAAGAACUACUUAUUAAAAAAAUAGGUACAAAUUCAGAUAUAAACAAGAACUAGAUUACCAAUUAAUUUUGCAUUUGUAUAAAAAUUAGGUUGUUCUCGAAAAUAAGAAAAAUAAUAUUUGGAUAGUUAAAAUAGAAUAGUGAGAAUAAGAAUAAUUAUAGUUUAAUAAUAUUUUAUCUAAUUAAUUAACAUAAAAUAAAUAUUAAAAAAUAAUUUAAUAAAUUAAAUUAUUUAUUAGCUAUGAAUAUUGUAAUAAAUAAAUAAAAAUAAUGUUAGUUAGUUAAUUAGUUAAUUAAUAUACUAAUUAAUUAAUAAAUUAUAAAAAAUAAGUUAUUUUAUUAAUUAGUUAGUAAAUUAUUUUAGUUAGAUAGUUAGUUAAGAAAUUAUCUAAUUAAUUAAUAUACAAAUUAAUUAAAUAAUAAUUUAACUUAUUUAAUUAACUAAUUUAUCAUAAAUACUGCAAGAUAAAUCUAAAUAUUAAUUAAUAAAAUAAUUAACAACGUAUGCUGUUAAUUAACUAUAAGUAAUUAAU